AAUCAACGCUGGCGGCGUGCCUCAGACAUGCAAGUCGAACGAUUAAAGCUCUCUUCGGAGAGUGCAUAGAGUGGCGCACGGGUGAGUAACACGUAAGUAAUCCACCUUCGAGUGGGGAAUAACGUCCGGGAAACGGACGCUAAUACCGCAUAAUGCAGCGGCAUCGCAAGAUGACAGUUGUUAAAGGAGCAAUUCGCUUGAAGAGGAGCGUGCGGCAGAUUAGCUAGUUGGUAAGGUAAUGGCUUACCAAGGCUACGAUCUGUAACCGGUCUAAGAGGACGGUCGGUCACACUGACACUGAAUAACGGGUCAGACUCCUACGGGAGGCAGCAGUCGGG
This 338-nucleotide ribosomal RNA is filed under the name uncultured bacterium. Its description in RNAcentral is "bacterial SSU rRNA". It matches the Rfam family "Bacterial small subunit ribosomal RNA", at positions 32 to 359 of the family's 1533-position model. The record is from RNAcentral.